Molecule: ribosomal RNA, 251 nt
Filed under: uncultured bacterium
Lineage: Bacteria
Description: partial 16S ribosomal RNA
Rfam family: Bacterial small subunit ribosomal RNA
Source: RNAcentral
GCAAGUCGAACGGUAGAAUAGCUUCGGUUAUUUGAGAGUGGCGAACGGGUGAGUAACACGUAGAUGAUCUGCCUUGAAGUUGGGGAUAGCCCAUAGAAAUAUGGGGUAAUACCGGAUAAUCUCUUACGAUUUUGAUUGUUUGAGGAAAGGGGCUUCGGCCUCGCUUUGAGAUGAGUCUGCGGCUUAUUAGCUAGUUGGUAGGGUAAAGGCCUACCAAGGCGACGAUAAGUAGCCGGCCUGAGAGGGUGACC